Homo sapiens (human) is the source of this 3169-nucleotide long non-coding RNA. Ensembl annotates it as long intergenic non-protein coding RNA 2668. NCBI's taxonomy places the organism in Eukaryota, Metazoa, Chordata, Mammalia, Primates, Hominidae. The record is from Ensembl.
ACACAUUUCAUCACCUCUCAGAAGGGGUUAACAUCACAGAAUUCCAAGUCUGAGGGUGGAGCCCUGAUCCUGAGAAGGUUUUGUUGAGUUCGGGACAGUAUUUCUUUACCCAUCCUUCAUGAAGAUAAAAAAUGAGGCAAAAUAGACACUAAAAUGGUCUCUGACAUCUCCUCAUGCCACCAGACAAGGAGUAACCAUGGUAACAAGAAGCCUAGAAAAAUUGGGGAAUGAGGAAGACCAGGAAUGAGAGCUCCCCUCAGCCCUGGGGGGACCUGAGUGUCCACAGCUGAGCCUUCUCUGCUUCCCUUUUCUCUUCUGGAUUCUGAUGGAGGAUAUUUUCAUCUUCCUCCCAAAAUCAUCAGAAAGCAUAAGGACAUAUAUAAACCGCUUUGCAAAAAGAGAGUGUAUGGAAUAAAAGAGAAAAUGAAGAAGAGGAGAAAGGCUGGAGUGCAAUGGUGUGAUCUCAGCUCACUGCAGCCUCAACCUCCCUGGCUCAGGUGAUUCUCCCACCUCAGCUUCCUGAUUAACUGGGAUUACAGUAAUGGUGAAAUUGCCGGUAAUCGCUAAGUAAAAACCACUGAAGAACAGGACAGAAGCCAAUGACCACCUCACCUCCACCGAGUGCCCUGCAGAAAAAGGAAAUGGAAAUCCUUCCUGUUAUUCUCCGCGUCCCUUCGUAGAAGGCUGCCUGAGAGGUCAGCACAGGAGUCCUCUAAGUGCCCUGCAGAGAACACGGGUCUCGGAGCCGGACAAACCUAAAUUUUGAAACCCACUUUGAGUUUGAACUUGGCUGUGGGAAAGUUACACAAUCGCUCUAAGCCUCUGUUUUCUCAUCAGUAAAACAGAGAGGGGUUGCUUGUGUGAGAAGUGGCCGCUGCCAAUCAUCUGCGUGUCCUUCACUCUCCCAGGGGCCAUGGGUCUGUAUUCUACACAUGUGGGAUCUUCCUCUGGACCCUUCGGACAUGGUCCACACGCUGCCCUCAGGAUCUGCUGGGGUCUGCAUGGGGGGUGAGACGUGAACCCCAACCACGUUCACCACAGAGAGGAAACUGGGGGGAUGGAGGGGGGGACAAGGCCAGGUCACCUUCAGGUGCCGCCCGCCAGCAAGGCGGUUUGCACCCGGCUGAAUGAGCUUUAAAAAAGACAGUUUUUUCUGUAGUUUAGAAUCAUGGUUUCACUAAAUGGUGAAAUAAUUUUAUGCCACUUCCCCUACUAAUUACCAUCUCAUUGUUAUUAGAAAGGAUGGUUUCCUUGAAGUCUAGAAAAUUUUGUUCCAGUCCAUUUCAACGGUGCAGGAGAAACGUGGCUUCCAUUCCGAGGAAGACGGCGACACCUAGUGACCGUUCCCUCGCGGUGCGAUGGCCUCACACCUGUGCGGCGGGUCGUCCGGGGCGUAGGGUGCUGCGGCCUUGCGGUCUUCCCUGCGCUGCAAGGCAGGGCAUGGUGGCAGAUUAACACCUGGAUGAACACGGGCAGGUCAGGAGACAAAUAAAACCCAGAGGUCUUUGAAACUUCAAAAUCCCGUAGGGUGUGUGACCCCAGUGAGCCCCACGCUACAUCCAGCGAGAACCGAGAAGUGAUGGUGCAGACAUUCUUGGGUCCCCCAGACAGAACACACCGGGAGUUACUGCCUCUUUCUCAUCCCGAGUCCUCCUGACUUUCCCCAGCACCCAUCGUGGCUGCAGCCAGGACACAGGUAAAUGUAAUUUCCCUCCCCUUCCAUCCUCGCUUUCACAUCGGUGUGAUUGACUGAGGGCCUGCAGACUCUCUCCACGUGCGGGUGCCCUGCAGCCUGACACACAAAUGCGUUCAUCCUUCCCCUUUAUCCUGACCCCGAACUAAUGACGCAGCUUCCUGAGACACAGAGGAUGCUUCUCCUCGUCCCCCCUCGCGCUCUGAAGUGGGAAAAGAUGUGUUCCAUCUGUUCUGGAAUUUUCACUGUAAAGAAGAGAAUGAAUUUUAACUGUGUUUUUGACAUAUCCCUAAACAAGAAGUGGUUUAUAGAGUGAAACCAUUUUCCCUUCAUCUAAAAUUUAAAAAAAAAAAAAAAGAGAGAGAAAAGUGCAAGACUGAAGAUGUGUGUUGAGCGGGGUGAGGAAGCGUGGGGGACUCGGCGCUGGAGGAGCCCCGGGUGUGUUUAGGGUUUGUGGUCAGGGGCCCUGGGCACCAGGUCCAGUCUGAAGCACCCGGGGGGAUGGACGAUGUUUGUGUAAGAGAGGGACAAAGGGAUGGCAGGGUGGCCAAGCAGAGACGCGAUUCCCUCUGUGCCCUUCCUGGACCAGCUUUGUAUUCUAACAGCAACGUCUCUGUUCUUGGGAAGAGCUCCUCGGUGAUUACCUGCCCGCCCCUUGUCUCCUCUUAUUCCCGCUGCCACAGGGCAGGGCCGCCCAGCUCCAGCUCAGACACACACCUGCUCCAACUGCUGUGCUGGUCACAGGCCCAGAGCACCACGUGUCCUCUGGGGUCUGUGUGGUCGGCGCCGUGCGUGGGACCACUGUGAGUGACCCUCCUCUUGUGUCACAGAGCCACUGUACCCGUGUGCACCUGUGCUCUGAGACCUGGAUACCCCUGGAAGGACAGACACCGAGGACCCGAGUGCACUGGAGUCCCGCUCCCACAGAUCCUGCUGCUGGGAGAACUGUCAGCCAGGAACGGGACUGCGGUGGGGAAUUCCUUCUGUCAACACACUUUCUAAUCUAAGCUCCAGACUCCACUUCCAGACUAGCACAGGCUUUUUCCCCCACAUCUCCUUCUCUGCAGCCGGGGCUCCUGCCGGGUCUGCGGAGCCCAGAGCCAUGCUCUCUGCCGACUCCAUCUCCAGAUGCCUGCCCCGGCACCCACGCUGUUGCCAGGACACCAGUGAACCCAGACAGGGAGCUGGGAGAUGGGAACAUCACUAGACCACGAGCCGGAAUUGCUGCAGGAGGAUUCCCACACUCUGGGCCUCCGUGGGCACCACGAGGACUGGACGUGCGACCCCAGCUCUCUGGGUCUCAGUUUCGUCUCCUGCAGAGCAUCUGAGCUAGACCGUCUCUAAAAUUUCAUCAAGCUCCUGUAUUCCAUUCUAUUCUGAGAUGCCCAAUUCUUAUGCCUGCUAAAAACCACAGUGAGAAAUAAUAACCUAUGUCCACAUUUUUGUUUCCUAGGAGAAAUAUCAACAUGCGUCUGC